This 437-nucleotide long non-coding RNA is filed under the name Homo sapiens (human). RNAcentral's name for it is "HSALNT0325248". Lineage: Eukaryota; Metazoa; Chordata; Mammalia; Primates; Hominidae. The record is from RNAcentral.
UUCAUGAUCCUUCUUUUAAGAGCUGCAUGGAUUUGGAGUCUUAUCCUCACUAGAAGAGAGGAAUGCACCCAAUGGAAAAGAGGAGAGCAACCAAAGUCUAAGCUAAGAGCAUAGUUUCAUAAAGUAUUUCCUCUGGCAUUCAUAGUUUUUGUGGACACACCUGAUACCUGAAAAAAACAAUCUGAGAAAAUCUAGGCUGUAACCAGCUCCCCGUUACCCUCAAUGAUAUCAUGGUGAAUAUCUUAGUGCAUGAUGCUUCAUGAAUUUAUGUGAAAGCUUCUCUGGGUUUACUCAGGUAGGCUAGGAAAUUAGACAAAAACAUACUUAAUUUUUGUCAGAAAGUCUAGAUUGUUUUUGUUCUAAAGAGCCCCUUUUCCUAUUACAAUGUUCUUUUUUUAAGCAAUCUUUGGAACUUUGAAAAAUUGUUUUAAAGCUUU